UACAGAGGUCCCGAGCGUUGUUCGGAUUCACUGGGCGUAAAGGGUGCGUAGGUGGCAUGGUAAGUUUGAUGUGAAAGCUCAGGGCUUAACCCUGAAAUGGCAUUGAAUACUAUCGUGCUGGAGGUUUGGAGGGGGGACUGGAAUUCUUGGUGUAGCAGUGAAAUGCGUAGAUAUCAAGAGGAACACCAGUGGCGAAGGCGAGUCCCUGGACAACACCUGACACUGAGGCACGAAAGCCGGGGGAGCAAACAGG
RNAcentral lists this ribosomal RNA (253 nucleotides) under uncultured bacterium. RNAcentral's name for it is "partial 16S ribosomal RNA". It matches the Rfam family "Bacterial small subunit ribosomal RNA", at positions 524 to 776 of the family's 1533-position model. The record is from RNAcentral.